RNAcentral lists this ribosomal RNA (399 nucleotides) under uncultured bacterium. RNAcentral's name for it is "bacterial SSU rRNA". It matches the Rfam family "Bacterial small subunit ribosomal RNA", at positions 355 to 771 of the family's 1533-position model. The record is from RNAcentral.
UGGGGAAUUUUGGACAAUGGGCGCAAGCCUGAUCCAGCCAUGCCGCGUGGGUGAAGAAGGCCCUAGGGUUGUAAACCCCUUUCAGCGGGGAAGAUAAUGACGGUACCCGCAGAAGAAGCCCCGGCUAACUCCGUGCCAGCAGCCGCGGUAAUACGGAGGGGGCUAGCGUUGUUCGGAAUUACUGGGCGUAAAGCGCGCGUAGGCGGAUUUGCAAGUCGGGGGUGAAAGCCCGAGGCUCAACCUCGGAACUGCCUUCGAUACUGCAAAUCUCGAGUCCGAGAGAGGUGAGUGGAAUUCCUAGUGUAGAGGUGAAAUUCGUAGAUAUUAGGAAGAACACCAGUGGCGAAGGCGGCUCACUGGCUCGGUACUGACGCUGAGGCGCGAAAGCGUGGGGAGCAA